This is a small nuclear RNA of Lemur catta (Ring-tailed lemur), 103 nucleotides long. Lineage: Eukaryota; Metazoa; Chordata; Mammalia; Primates; Lemuridae. The record is from RefSeq and is a predicted model, not a curated record.
UUGCUUCACCAGCACAUAUACUAAAAUUGGAACAAUACAGAGAAGAUUAGAAUAGCCCCUGCACAAGGAGGACAUGCAAAUUCUUGAAAUGUUCCAUAUUUUU